This 2843-nucleotide ribosomal RNA is filed under the name Salmonella enterica subsp. enterica serovar Enteritidis. RNAcentral's name for it is "partial 23S ribosomal RNA". It matches the Rfam family "Bacterial large subunit ribosomal RNA". Lineage: Bacteria; Pseudomonadati; Pseudomonadota; Gammaproteobacteria; Enterobacterales; Enterobacteriaceae. The record is from RNAcentral.
GGGUUGUGAGGUUAAGCGACUAAGCGUACACGGUGGAUGCCCUGGCAGUCAGAGGCGAUGAAGGGCGUGCUAAUCUGCGAUAAGCGCCGGUAAGGUGAUAUGAACCGUUAUAACCGGCGAUACCCGAAUGGGGAAACCCAGUGUGACUCGUCACACUAUCAUUAACUGAAUCCAUAGGUUAAUGAGGCGAACCGGGGGAACUGAAACAUCUAAGUACCCCGAGGAAAAGAAAUCAACCGAGAUUCCCCCAGUAGCGGCGAGCGAACGGGGAGGAGCCCAGAGCCUGAAUCAGCAUGUGUGUUAGUGGAAGCGUCUGGAAAGGCGCGCGAUACAGGGUGACAGCCCCGUACACAAAAGCGCAUGUGCUGUGAGCUCGAUGAGUAGGGCGGGACACGUGGUAUCCUGUCUGAAUAUGGGGGGACCAUCCUCCAAGGCUAAAUACUCCUGACUGACCGAUAGUGAACCAGUACCGUGAGGGAAAGGCGAAAAGAACCCCGGCGAGGGGAGUGAAAAAGAACCUGAAACCGUGUACGUACAAGCAGUGGGAGCACCCUUUGGGUGUGACUGCGUACCUUUUGUAUAAUGGGUCAGCGACUUAUAUUCUGUAGCAAGGUUAACCGAAUAGGGGAGCCGGAGGGAAACCGAGUCUUAAUUGGGCGUUAAGUUGCAGGGUAUAGACCCGAAACCCGGUGAUCUAGCCAUGGGCAGGUUGAAGGUUGGGUAACACUAACUGGAGGACCGAACCGACUAAUGUUGAAAAAUUAGCGGAUGACCUGUGGCUGGGGGUGAAAGGCCAAUCAAACCGGGAGAUAGCUGGUUCUCCCCGAAAGCUAUUUAGGUAGCGCCUCGUGAAUUCAUCUCCGGGGGUAGAGCACUGUUUCGGCUAGGGGGCCAUCCCGGCUUACCAACCCGAUGCAAACUGCGAAUACCGGAGAAUGUUAUCACGGGAGACACACGGCGGGUGCUAACGUCCGUCGUGAAGAGGGAAACAACCCAGACCGCCAGCUAAGGUCCCAAAGUCAUGGUUAAGUGGGAAACGAUGUGGGAAGGCCCAGACAGCCAGGAUGUUGGCUUAGAAGCAGCCAUCAUUUAAAGAAAGCGUAAUAGCUCACUGGUCGAGUCGGCCUGCGCGGAAGAUGUAACGGGGCUAAACCAUGCACCGAAGCUGCGGCAGCGACACUGUGUGUUGUUGGGUAGGGGAGCGUUCUGUAAGCCUGCGAAGGUGGCCUGUGAGGGUUGCUGGAGGUAUCAGAAGUGCGAAUGCUGACAUAAGUAACGAUAAAGCGGGUGAAAAGCCCGCUCGCCGGAAGACCAAGGGUUCCUGUCCAACGUUAAUCGGGGCAGGGUGAGUCGACCCCUAAGGCGAGGCCGAAAGGCGUAGUCGAUGGGAAACGGGUUAAUAUUCCCGUACUUGGUGUUACUGCGAAGGGGGGACGGAGAAGGCUAUGUUGGCCGGGCGACGGUUGUCCCGGUUUAAGCGUGUAGGUGUGUGUUCCAGGUAAAUCCGGUUCACUUUAACACUGAGGCGUGACGACGAGGCACUACGGUGCUGAAGCAACAAAUGCCCUGCUUCCAGGAAAAGCCUCUAAGCAUCAGGUAACAUCAAAUCGUACCCCAAACCGACACAGGUGGUCAGGUAGAGAAUACCAAGGCGCUUGAGAGAACUCGGGUGAAGGAACUAGGCAAAAUGGUGCCGUAACUUCGGGAGAAGGCACGCUGACACGUAGGUGAAGUGAUUUACUCAUGGAGCUGAAGUCAGUCGAAGAUACCAGCUGGCUGCAACUGUUUAUUAAAAACACAGCACUGUGCAAACACGAAAGUGGACGUAUACGGUGUGACGCCUGCCCGGUGCCGGAAGGUUAAUUGAUGGGGUCAGCGCAAGCGAAGCUCCUGAUCGAAGCCCCGGUAAACGGCGGCCGUAACUAUAACGGUCCUAAGGUAGCGAAAUUCCUUGUCGGGUAAGUUCCGACCUGCACGAAUGGCGUAAUGAUGGCCAGGCUGUCUCCACCCGAGACUCAGUGAAAUUGAACUCGCUGUGAAGAUGCAGUGUACCCGCGGCAAGACGGAAAGACCCCGUGAACCUUUACUAUAGCUUGACACUGAACAUUGAGCCUUGAUGUGUAGGAUAGGUGGGAGGCUUUGAAGUGUGGACGCCAGUCUGCAUGGAGCCGACCUUGAAAUACCACCCUUUAAUGUUUGAUGUUCUAACGUGGACCCGUUACCCGGGUUGCGGACAGUGUCUGGUGGGUAGUUUGACUGGGGCGGUCUCCUCCUAAAGAGUAACGGAGGAGCACGAAGGUUGGCUAAUCCUGGUCGGACAUCAGGAGGUUAGUGCAAUGGCAUAAGCCAGCUUGACUGCGAGCGUGACGGCGCGAGCAGGUGCGAAAGCAGGUCAUAGUGAUCCGGUGGUUCUGAAUGGAAGGGCCAUCGCUCAACGGAUAAAAGGUACUCCGGGGAUAACAGGCUGAUACCGCCCAAGAGUUCAUAUCGACGGCGGUGUUUGGCACCUCGAUGUCGGCUCAUCACAUCCUGGGGCUGAAGUAGGUCCCAAGGGUAUGGCUGUUCGCCAUUUAAAGUGGUACGCGAGCUGGGUUUAGAACGUCGUGAGACAGUUCGGUCCCUAUCUGCCGUGGGCGCUGGAGAACUGAGGGGGGCUGCUCCUAGUACGAGAGGACCGGAGUGGACGCAUCACUGGUGUUCGGGUUGUCAUGCCAAUGGCACUGCCCGGUAGCUAAAUGCGGAAGAGAUAAGUGCUGAAAGCAUCUAAGCACGAAACUUGCCCCGAGAUGAGUUCUCCCUGAGACUUAAAGUCUCCUGAAGGAACGUUGAAGACGACGACGUUG